Molecule: long non-coding RNA, 973 nt
Organism: Dinoponera quadriceps
Lineage: Eukaryota; Metazoa; Arthropoda; Insecta; Hymenoptera; Formicidae
Exons: 7
Source: RefSeq, a predicted model, not a curated record
UUCAUAUCACUCAGUCGUUGAUUAGCGCCAAGCGCGGUUUCCUCGAUCGAUAAGAUGGAGAAUGUCGAAAAUAGAUCCUAUCAGACGAAAAGGUUGAGACAUCUGCUGUGCCUCGCCAGCCUCGAAGAGAUGCUCCAGCCUUAACAGAAUUGUACCAUCUUUCCAUGGCUCUAGCGUAAGAAUGUGCACGUUCAGUGGCAAUAAUUUAUUAAGCCCCGACGUCUACGAAAUGAAUUUUAAUCAACAAACAUUACGUCUAGAUAGCCCUCGCACAAAAUAGUUACUAAGUGGCGUAAAACAAAUCUCGACAAACUAUUCAUCGGACUGUUCAAAAUAGGAGAUUUACUGUAAACCUUGCAAAUUGUCUGCCGAGCUUUGUGUUUUAUAUUAGUUGUAAAAUAACCAUAAUUGUUAGUGACGGGAGCACCUAAGAUCCAAGGAUGUAGGGCCAAUUUGAGGACCUUCGCCAUAUGCAGAUUCAUUUAACGCUUCGCCGACGCCAAACGCAUCAUCCUUCAGGAGUCUUCGAUGAAGCUGAAAGAAAUAUCGUUUAUUAUAAGCCGUCAUCCAUGCUGCUUCCACCUUGGGCACGAUCGGUCAAGACAUUCAACUUCAGUUGCUUCUCUUCGUCUUUGAUGACAAUUUUAUUAGUCACCGGAUAAUAAUUCCCAGCUACCGGCUCGUGCAACUCCAGAUCCCACGUAUCGGUCCAAUCAGCCAAUUGAACUCAACUUGCUCCUCUUCUGAAUAAAUUCGGACUACUUGACUCAUCCAUUCGUUUACCGUCAGAUGAAGUUCUUCCACAACCGGACCUGACAGAGAGAAAGUAGAUGAAUUUUACGAUAAAAGAUAUAUUUAAGAGUGCUAUGGACACAUAUAGGACGAGUGAACAAUACCUUUGUAGAUUUGGUACGUCCCGGUAUAGUCAAAAUUAUUGACUGAUGCGUUUUUAGGCCUGAAGAUAUACGCGCCG